GAUGAACGCUGGCGGCGUGCCUAAUACAUGCAAGUCGAGCGAACAGAUAAGGAGCUUGCUCCUUUGACGUUAGCGGCGGACGGGUGAGUAACACGUGGGUAACCUACCUAUAAGACUGGGAUAACUUCGGGAAACCGGAGCUAAUACCGGAUAACAUUUGGAACCGCAUGGUUCUAAAGUGAAAGAUGGUUUUGCUAUCACUUAUAGAUGGACCCGCGCUGUAUUAGCUAGUUGGUAAGGUGACGGCUUACCAAGGCGACGAUACGUAGCCGACCUGAGAGGGUGAUCGGCCACACUGGAACUGAGACACGGUCCAGACUCCUACGGGAGGCAGCAGUAGGGAAUCUUCCGCAAUGGGCGAAAGCCUGACGGAGCAACGCCGCGUGAGUGAUGAAGGGUUUCGGCUCGUAAAACUCUGUUAUUAGGGAAGAACAAAUGUGUAAGUAACUGUGCACGUCUUGACGGUACCUAAUCAGAAAGCCACGGCUAACUACGUG
Molecule: ribosomal RNA, 497 nt
Filed under: uncultured bacterium
Lineage: Bacteria
Description: partial 16S ribosomal RNA
Rfam family: Bacterial small subunit ribosomal RNA
Source: RNAcentral